Camellia sinensis is the source of this 161-nucleotide non-coding RNA. NCBI's taxonomy places the organism in Eukaryota, Viridiplantae, Streptophyta, Magnoliopsida, Ericales, Theaceae. The record is from RefSeq and is a predicted model, not a curated record.
UCUCAGGAUGAAGAACUGAGAAUGCUGACAAGGCAAGAAAUAAGUUCUUCAAGCAGAUCAAUGUUACCAGGAGAGGUUGGAUAUAGCACAGGGGAAGUGGACGAGGAAAUUGUUUCUUCUCAAAUACCACUAAGACAAUCUCUACGGCCUAGGCAGAACAG